CAGGUCUUGGCCAUGAUAGUUGGAGGAGUCGAACAUUUUGAACCCAUUCUUAUUGUGGUCGUCUCCAAACAGGUCCUGGAAGCACCGCAAGCAGACCUGCUUCUCACCUGGGCUCAGGCAGGGCCACCCGCCCAGAUAUCUCCGCACAAACUGAAACAAUUUCGAGGGAGAGGUGUGUUCUGCAACCAGCCACAGAAUAACAGGUGAGCUGGGCGUGUCUUCACUGACCCACCCGCCCAGGGCUGCUGCACUCCUCCACCCUGCUCAGGAUCACUGCAAUGACCGUUCUGUGGCUACAGCCCUAAAAGAGCUACUGAAAAGACCAGAAGUCGUAUGAGAACUUGUGAAUACAAAUAUAAAUAAAGGACAUCUGGAGAACAUGCA
Chlorocebus sabaeus (green monkey) is the source of this 384-nucleotide non-coding RNA. Lineage: Eukaryota; Metazoa; Chordata; Mammalia; Primates; Cercopithecidae. The record is from RefSeq and is a predicted model, not a curated record.